GGCGAGGUAGCUCAGCUGGUUAGAGCGCAUGAUUCAUAAUCAUGAGGUCGUGGGUUCAAGCCCCACUCUCGCUAC
Molecule: transfer RNA, 75 nt
Filed under: Bacteroidia bacterium
Lineage: Bacteria; Pseudomonadati; Bacteroidota; Bacteroidia
Description: tRNA-Met
Rfam family: tRNA
About the family: Transfer RNA (tRNA) molecules are approximately 80 nucleotides in length. Their secondary structure includes four short double-helical elements and three loops (D, anti-codon, and T loops).
Source: RNAcentral